Molecule: ribosomal RNA, 253 nt
Filed under: uncultured bacterium
Lineage: Bacteria
Description: partial 16S ribosomal RNA
Rfam family: Bacterial small subunit ribosomal RNA
Source: RNAcentral
UACGGAGGGUGCAAGCGUUGUUCGGAAUUACUGGGCGUAAAGAGCAUGUAGGUGGCCAUAUAAGUCAGAUGUGAAAUACCUUGGCUUAACUAAGGGGGGUCAUUUGAAACUGUAUGGCUUGAGUACGGGAGAGGAGAGUGGAAUUCCUAGUGUAGAGGUGAAAUUCGUAGAUAUUAGGAGGAACACCGGUGGCGAAGGCGACUCUCUGGACUGAUACUGACGCUGAGAUGCGAAAGCGUGGGGAGCAAACAGG